This 469-nucleotide ribosomal RNA is filed under the name uncultured beta proteobacterium. RNAcentral's name for it is "bacterial SSU rRNA". It matches the Rfam family "Bacterial small subunit ribosomal RNA", at positions 189 to 649 of the family's 1533-position model. Lineage: Bacteria; Pseudomonadati; Pseudomonadota; Betaproteobacteria. The record is from RNAcentral.
GGAGGACCCUAGAGAUCGCAAGACCUUGCGCUCAUUGAGCGGCCGACGUCUGAUUAGCUAAUUGGUGAGGGAAAGGCUUACCAAGGCGACGAUCAGUAGCUGGUCUGAGAGGACGACCAGCCACACUGGGACUGAGACACGGCCCAGACUCCUACGGGAGGCAGCAGUGGGGAAUUUUGGACAAUGGGGGAAACCCUGAUCCAGCCAUGCCGCAUGAGUGAAGAAGGCCUUCGGGUUGUAAAGCUCUUUCAGCCGGAACGAAACGGUCACGGCUAAUACCUGUGACUACUGACGGUACCGGAAGAAGAAGCACCGGCUAACUACGUGCCAGCAGCCGCGGUAUUACGUAGGGUGCGAGCGUUAAUCGGAAUUACUGGGCGUAAAGCGUGCGCAGGCGGUUUUGUAAGUCAGAUGUGAAAUCCCCGGGCUUAACCUGGGAACUGCGUUUGAAACUACAAGGCUAGAAGGG